UACGGAGGAUCCGAGCGUUAUCCGGAUUUAUUGGGUUUAAAGGGUGCGCAGGCGGGAGAUUAAGUCGGUGGUGAAAUUUUGCAGCUUAACUGUAACAGUGCCAUUGAUACUGGUUUUCUUGAGUGUGGAUGAAGUAGGCGGAAUUUGUGGUGUAGCGGUGAAAUGCAUAGAUAUCACGAGGAACUCCGAUUGCGCAGGCAGCUUACUAAACUACUACUGACGCUCAGGCACGAAGGCGUGGGGAGCAAACAGGAUUAGAUA
Molecule: ribosomal RNA, 261 nt
Filed under: uncultured prokaryote
Description: partial 16S ribosomal RNA
Rfam family: Bacterial small subunit ribosomal RNA
Source: RNAcentral